RNAcentral lists this non-coding RNA (27 nucleotides) under Mus musculus (house mouse). Lineage: Eukaryota; Metazoa; Chordata; Mammalia; Rodentia; Muridae. The record is from RNAcentral.
GGCAAACCUUUUGGCCUUAAACUUGCA